Molecule: ribosomal RNA, 253 nt
Filed under: uncultured prokaryote
Description: partial 16S ribosomal RNA
Rfam family: Bacterial small subunit ribosomal RNA
Source: RNAcentral
UACGUAGGGUGCGAGCGUUAAUCGGAAUUACUGGGCGUAAAGGGUGCGCAGGCGGAUAAAUAAGUUAGAUGUGAAAUACCCGGGCUCAACCUGGGAGGUGCAUUUAAGACUGUUUAUCUAGAGUUUGUCAGAGGGGGGUAGAAUUCCAAGUGUAGCAGUGAAAUGCGUAGAGAUUUGGAGGAAUACCGGUGGCGAAGGCGGCCCCCUGGGAUAGAACUGACGCUCAUGCACGAAAGCGUGGGUAGCAAACAGG